UUAAAUCCCUUAGUUGUAUUUUACUUAGCAAAUAUCUACUUGAACACAUUAGACGUUGUUGGACUUAAGUUACAGAAAAAUUAUAACUCAUAUUUAGCAUCGUUUCCUGUAUAUGAUAAUUAUUUUUAUUUAGUUCUAGACACACAUGAUUAUUUAAAUUGUUUUAUUUAUGAUUAAAACCCGCUGCUAUAAUAAAUCGCUCGGAUGAUGUUUUUAAUUUUCAGGUUAAUUUAGCCGGAAGUGCGAUGUAAAAUGGCGACCCAUGGCUGCUGACGCUGGUCUCCUUGCCUUCAGCGGCUCCGCCUGGCCGGGCCCCGAGGGAUUUAUUCGCCAUGGGAUUUGGUAGACAAGACGCCGUUUCACCCUCCAAAAAAAUGUCUUAAAAUGACUGCUGAAGAAAGACCAGUGUGAAGAGAAGAAGCAGCAGUUCUGUGAAGGGGACAUCAGGUAGCAUGCUGUAAUUCAGCAUUGAAGACACGAGCCUGCUGGUGUUCAAAAGCAAUUUAUCCUGGUGUGAUCCCUCGGAGGUUCCUGUGGCAGACGUGACAUAUCGAGGUUGGCAGGCUGUGUACUGCAAAAAGCCUUCUUAGAAAAGCUGUGGCUGACCUUCAGUGCAGAACAACAUCCUGCAGGAGGCCACUGAGCCAGUAGGUCCAGGUCAAGCAUGGUGCUAUCUGCAGUUACGACACUACAAUGCCUAUCUGGGAAAAGUUACUUCCCCAUUACGUGCCUGGCAGGUGUCUUCAAAGGAUGGAGACCGAAAGCCCUCUUGCAGCCUUCUCAUUGGCCUUCCACUACCUGAAGCACCUCCCCCUAUUGGUCCACUUCAAGGGUCUUUAUUAAAGCAGAGAAAAGAGAUGGAUCUGAGGUCAAAGCGGGCAGAGUUCCGUGGACGGAGUCGAACGAGUCGGUGGGGCUCACCUGGACCCCCGUCGUGUCCUGCAGCGUGUGCUCGCUGGUUUCCAUCUCGAAGGCCGCGCCCGCGCGCAUCAACCCCGCUUUGACCCCACAGGCCGAGCCGGUGGCCGGGGGUCGCCUCCUGCUGGCCGCGCAGCACGCCGCGAAGAAAGCGGCGGCCGUCAACAAGAGGAGCGGCCCUAUCACGAUGGGGGGGUUGGCGGCCGGGGCGUAGGUGGCGAAGGCGACGGCGCCCACCAGGGUGACGUUGACCCCGGCCAGCAGGACGCACAGGCCGCACGCGCAGCACAGAGGCGGCGAAGGCAGGCUGCGGGCUCGCUGCUUGUGGCGUUUGUGGGCUGCAGGACGUCUGCUGCUGUUUUCUGGAAGCACCAUGGAGGAGGAGGAGGACGGAUGCACUCGUCAGCUCAGAAGGUAGGAAACAUGACUCUACAGCACCCAAACUAGUAAAAAAGGAAAACAAAACCACUAAUUUCAUAAUGAUGUAGAUAAAUAGAAAGUUAGCUGUACUUACCUUACUUGGUCUUCAUGUUAGUGUGUAAUCAGGACAGCUGCUGGCUCCUCUCAGCAGGUCAGCAACUCACUGAGCAGCUCUUGCCUCCAAACCACUGCUGUUACACUGCACUGCCGCUAGGGGCACCAGAGCGCUUUUUUAGGUGAGCGACACGCCCACUUUUAACACUGGCAUAAUUUAAAGAUGAACAUGAAAUACUCUAAAAUAAUGAAAUAUCCAUCACUCAUAAAGAGAACUCUUAAACAGCAUCCUAACAGCUUUGCUAGUUAGGAUCAUCCCAAACAUUGACCUGAACACCAAAUAUUAAGCAACAGUCAGAAAAUAAAUAGAGAAAGUAAUAAAGGAUAUUGUUUAUUGACCAGUAAAAAUAUGCUCCAAAGAGCUUACUUUAUGCAUGAUGACAAUUUGUAAAAUAUAAAUGGAAGACGUCCUCCCUCCGUUUUACAGCAUACUGAUCUCACUUUACUUAAUGGUGAUUAAACAUGUUUGAUAAAAGGCUAUUCGUCUAACAAAUAAUUGCUAUUGCACUUUUAGGCAGCGAGUUGUUGCUAUAGAGAUGUUGUGUCCAUGGCAACCAGGUGGAAACACGAACAUGGGCUCAUGACAAAGGAAAGUGAUACAAUAUAAUACUCUCAUUCUUGGUACACUCGCAACAAACAGACUGAACAAGACACCAAUAAAAAGCAUAUAAAAAUAAAAACCAGUAACCCUUUUUCAUCAUUCUAUAUAAAGUAAUUAUUUAAAUGACCUGUGGACAUAUUUAAAGUUGGAAGACAGAAAAGGUCGUCUCACUGACUUUGAGGUUCCUCUGGUCUCUUCAAGAGGUAAAUAAAGAGCGCACACAAAGCAGGUGAAGUGUAAACGCCUUCUAGAGUCAAGCAGGUUUAAAGUACAUCAGUGCUCCAGGUAGUUUGUGUCAGCUUUCAGCUUUUCUGAAAAUAGCUUGAGAAAAGUUAAUGAUUGGAAACACUUCACAUGCUGGGAUAGGCUUCAUAAAAGAACAAAUAAAAAAGGUAAGAAAAUUAAAACUGUGGUAAGAUCAAAUGUAACUUUAAGUCUCUGGUGUGGGGGGAAGGGUUUCGUGCAUCCUGGAUACAAGUCCGGACUCUAGCCAAGAGGAAGAACUGCCAAGUGAUAAGAGGCUGCUAAAAACACAGAGGAUCCAAAAGGUCUAAAAGCAGGAUGAGCAGGAGGCUUUCAGGCCGUGAGUUGAGAAGUGUGGUCUGUGGUGCGCAGGGCGAUGGACUGUGCCCUCCUGCGAGCCAGUCUGGAGUUGGACGGAGGAGAAAGCCUCAUGGAACAAACCACUGCCACGGCCGAGUCCUCCUGCUGCUGCUCGUGCUGAGAGAGCUGCCUGUGGAAGGCGAUGGCUUCUGCUGCAAACAGGCUCAGGUCUUUGGUGCUGCUGUUCCUAUCGGGUCAACACUCGCAUUAUUACAUUAUAGUACCGCUUAUUACAACCCUAACCCCAACGCAUAGGACCUUACCAAACCUUUAGCCCAGAAAUUCUCAAUCAAUUAUUAUUAAGUAUUAAUUAUCUUUAAACACAGUGUAACUGUUCAAACUGUGUUAAGUUAAAGUUAAGUUUUGAGACAUCUACAACUACAGCACCAGAAUUGUGCUGCUGAAGCAAGUCCGUUUUUUUGAGUUUUUUGUAAGGGUCCCCCCUUACGACAUUUUAGCAAAAAAAUUAUUUCGUAAAAUAUGCAUUUUCUUCCAUUUUCUUACAUUUACGGUAUGUGUCGGGACUCCUGAUGACGUUUUGAGACAUCUCCUACAACUACAGCACCAGAAUUGUGCUGCUAAAGCAAGUCUCUUUUUUGAAAAAAUUUUUGUGAAAAAAAGUUUUCCCAAAAAAUGCAUUUUCUGCCAUUUUUAGGUUUUGUCGGGACUCCUGAUGACGUUUUAAG
Molecule: long non-coding RNA, 3342 nt
Organism: Entelurus aequoreus (snake pipefish)
Lineage: Eukaryota; Metazoa; Chordata; Actinopteri; Syngnathiformes; Syngnathidae
Exons: 8
Source: RefSeq, a predicted model, not a curated record